Molecule: ribosomal RNA, 555 nt
Filed under: uncultured Halobacterium sp.
Lineage: Archaea; Methanobacteriati; Methanobacteriota; Halobacteria; Halobacteriales; Halobacteriaceae
Description: bacterial SSU rRNA
Rfam family: Archaeal small subunit ribosomal RNA
Source: RNAcentral
ACGGGGAGCAGCAGGCGCGAAACCUUUACACUGCACGACAGUGCGAUAAGGGGACCCCGAGUGCGAGGGCAUACAGUCCUUGCUUUUCGUGACCGUAAGGAGGUCACAGAAUAAGGGCUGGGCAAGACCGGUGCCAGCCGCCGCGGUAAUACCGGCAGCCCGAGUGAUAGCCACUAUUAUUGGGCCUAAAGCGUCCGUAGCCGGCCGAACGGGUCCGUCGGGAAAUCCACCCGCUCAACGAGUGGACGUCCGGCGGAAACCAGUCGGCUUGGGGCCGGGAGACCAGAGAGGUACGUCCGGGGUAGGAGUGAAAUCCUGUAAUCCUGGACGGACCGCCGGUAGCGAAAGCGUCUCUGGAGAACGGACCCGACGGUGAGGGACGAAAGCUUGGGUCUCGAACCGGAUUAGAUACCCGGGUAGUCCUAGCUGUAAACGAUGCUCGCUAGGUGCGGCGCAGGCUACGAGCCUGCGCUGCGCCGUAGGGAAGCCGAGAAGCGAGCCGCCUGGGAAGUACGUCCGCAAGGAUGAAACUUAAAGGAAUUGGCGGGGGAGCAC